UUUGAAGACUUCAUGAAGUGCCUUCUAAGUGUCAAUGGUUCAUGCAAAAAGACAUCCUCAACAUUGGCAAUCUUUGGACAUUUUUAUUAUUGAAUUUGUAAUUUCUUUAUUGAUUAAAUGCUACUUGUUUUUAAAUUUUGUUGUCUUUAAUGGUAAUAUUAAUGAAGUAAUGACGCAUGUUUUGAUCCAAUUAUAUCACAUUAGCUCAUUUUUCUUCUCUUAUUUAAAAAAAACAAAAAAAUA
Molecule: long non-coding RNA, 243 nt
Filed under: Lathyrus oleraceus (garden pea)
Lineage: Eukaryota; Viridiplantae; Streptophyta; Magnoliopsida; Fabales; Fabaceae
Description: Pisum sativum (pea) long non-coding RNA (PSAT_LNC006619)
Source: RNAcentral